Molecule: unclassified non-coding RNA, 406 nt
Filed under: soil metagenome
Description: partial contains 5.8S ribosomal RNA, internal transcribed spacer 2, and large subunit ribosomal RNA
Rfam family: 5.8S ribosomal RNA (bases 1-121)
Source: RNAcentral
GAUGAAGAACGUAGCGAAAUGCGAUAAGUAAUGUGAAUUGCAGAAUUCAGUGAAUCAUCGAAUCUUUGAACGCACCUUGCGCCCUUUGGCCAUUCCGAAGGGCAUGCCUGUUUGAGUAUCAUGAACACCUCAACUCUUCAUGGUUUUCCGUGAUGAUCUUGGACUUUGGGGGUCUUGCUGGCGUAUGGUCAGCUCCUCUAAAAUAAAUCAGCUUGCCAGUGUUUGGUGGGUAUCACAGGUGUGAUAACUAUCUACGCUUGUGGUUUUCCACCAGGUAACCUUCAGCAGUGGAGGUUCGCUGGAGCUCACAGAUGUGUCUCUCCUCAGUGAGGACAGCUCUUUGAAUGUUUGAUCUCAAAUCAGGUAGGACUACCCGCUGAACUUAAGCAUAUCAAUAAGCGGAGGA